This 330-nucleotide ribosomal RNA is filed under the name uncultured eukaryote. RNAcentral describes it as "partial 18S ribosomal RNA". It matches the Rfam family "Eukaryotic small subunit ribosomal RNA", at positions 1470 to 1796 of the family's 1831-position model. The record is from RNAcentral.
CCCUUAGAUGUUCUGGGCCGCACGCGCGCUACACUGAUGCAUUCAACGAGUCUAAAACCUGGUCUGAUAGGGCUGGGUAAUCUUUUGAAUGUGCAUCGUGAUUGGGAUAGAUGAUUGCAAUUCUUCAUCUUCAACGAGGAAUGCCUAGUAAACGCAAGUCAUCAGCUUGCAUUGAUUACGUCCCUGCCCUUUGUACACACCGCCCGUCACUCCUACCGAUUGAAUGUUCCGAUGAAUACCAUGGACUGAGAGUAUGAAUGGGUUCGCCUAUUUCUGCUUCUCGGGAAGUGGAGUAAAUCUUAACAUUUAGAGGAAGGAGAAGUCGUAACA